RNAcentral lists this unclassified non-coding RNA (335 nucleotides) under soil metagenome. RNAcentral describes it as "partial contains 5.8S ribosomal RNA, internal transcribed spacer 2, and large subunit ribosomal RNA". The stretch from base 1 to 119 matches the Rfam family "5.8S ribosomal RNA", at positions 35 to 154 of the family's 154-position model. The record is from RNAcentral.
GAUGAAAACGCAGCGAAAUGCGAUAAGUAAUGUGAAUUGCAGAAUUCAGUGAAUCAUCGAAUCUUUGAACGCACAUUGCGCCCGCCAGUAUUCUGGCGGGCAUGCCUGUUCGAGCGUCAUUUCAACCAUCAAGCCCCAGGCUUGUGUUGGGGACCUGCGGCUGCCGCAGGCCCUGAAAACCAGUGGCGGGCUCGCUGUCACACCGGGCGUAGUAGAUUUUAUCUCGCUCAGGGCGUGCUGCGGGUCCCGGCCGUUAAAAGCCUUUUUUUACCCAAGGUUGACCUCGGAUCAGGUAGGAAGACCCGCUGAACUUAAGCAUAUCAAUAAGCGGAGGA